AUGUGUGAGGGUUUCUUGGGCUGUCGACCGCACUGGGGUUUGUUCAAACAUAUCUUCACGUGUCGCUCUCAGACCGUGAAGAAGGCGAGCCCAGGUGAUGAGAAAACCCGAGUCGUCCAAAUGUGUGGGGGCCUGGGGAUCCAGGUGAGGAAUAAGAGCACCUUCCCGCCCAUGACCUUUCCCGAGUCCGUCAGAGGCUGGCAGUCGACUUGGUUCUACUGCCAGGUCCAGUCGACGCCAGGGCAGUCGAGUGGACUCCCUCCGUUUACCAUGGACCGAGUGAACAAGCCCUCCCCUCUGAAGCUGAUUCCGGAGGAGAAAGCCGACGUGAAGAUGUUGAUGGAGCGCGUGGUGCAGUUGGUUCGGGAGGGGGUGACGGGCAUGGAUCUUCUGGAGGUCUUCCUCAGGCGUCGCAUCCAACCCCUUCAAUUCCGGAGCCACUGCAUGUGGUUAUACUGUGGGACCGAAGACGAGACUAGAGUCCAUCCAGAAGCAGUCGACGACGUUACUCUGGAAAGAUGGAUGGUAGCCGUUACCGGAAACAAGGACAACCCGCGCGGAGCCAGAAGGAUUCCUCCACUCGACCACAACAACGACACAAACAAGGUACACUUGCUCUGCUCUCCACUGCGCCCUUGUCGUAUUCAUUUCUGUUAA
Molecule: ribosomal RNA, 657 nt
Filed under: Triticum aestivum (bread wheat)
Lineage: Eukaryota; Viridiplantae; Streptophyta; Magnoliopsida; Poales; Poaceae
Description: partial small subunit ribosomal RNA
Source: RNAcentral